CAGGAUGUGCUUGCACAUCGCUGACGAGUGGCGGACGGGUGAGUAAUGCUUGGGAACUUGCCUUUGCGAGGGGGAUAACAGUUGGAAACGACUGCUAAUACCGCAUAAUGUCUACGGACCAAACGGGGCUUUUAGCUCCGGCGCAAAGAGAGGCCCAAGUGAGAUUAGCUAGUUGGUAAGGUAACGGCUUACCAAGGCGACGAUCUCUAGCUGUUCUGAGAGGAAGAUCAGCCACACUGGGACUGAGACACGGCCCAGACUCCUACGGGAGGCAGCAGUGGGGAAUAUUGCACAAUGGGGGAAACCCUGAUGCAGCCAUGCCGCGUGUGUGAAGAAGGCCUUCGGGUUGUAAAGCACUUUCAGUUGUGAGGAAAAGUUAGUAGUUAAUACCUGCUAGCCGUGACGUUAACAACAGAAGAAGCACCGGCUAACUCCGUGCCAGCAGCCGCGGUAAUACGGAGGGUGCGAGCGUUAAUCGGAAUUACUGGGCGUAAAGCGCACGCAGGCGGUUUGUUAAGCUAGAUGUGAAAGCCCCGGGCUCAACCUGGGAUGGUCAUUUAGAACUGGCAGACUAGAGUCUUGGAGAGGGGAGUGGAAUUCCAGGUGUAGCGGUGAAAUGCGUAGAUAUCUGGAGGAACAUCAGUGGCGAAGGCGACUCCCUGGCCAAAGACUGACGCUCAUGUGCGAAAGUGUGGGUAGCGAACAGGAUUAGAUACCCUGGUAGUCCACACCGU
Molecule: ribosomal RNA, 734 nt
Filed under: uncultured Gammaproteobacteria bacterium
Lineage: Bacteria; Pseudomonadati; Pseudomonadota; Gammaproteobacteria
Description: bacterial SSU rRNA
Rfam family: Bacterial small subunit ribosomal RNA
Source: RNAcentral